This 247-nucleotide long non-coding RNA is filed under the name Mytilus galloprovincialis (Mediterranean mussel). Lineage: Eukaryota; Metazoa; Mollusca; Bivalvia; Mytilida; Mytilidae. The record is from RNAcentral.
GAUCUCUGAAUUUGGGUCUGAUCUCUGAAAUUGAAUCUGAUCUCUGAAUUUGGGUCUGAUCUCUGAAAUUGGGUCUGAUCUCUGAAUGACAAAAGUUCCUCAUUUUCAUUCACCCCUAUCAUUUGGGUACUCUUAAAGCUCAGGCAAAUGGGAAUUAACAUCCAAGUCCUUUGCAAUAUUCAAAUUAUUAUUACCGGUAACCAAAUUCUCAAAAUAUUCACUGUAAGAACAUCUCUUCUUACUUUUU